This 532-nucleotide long non-coding RNA is filed under the name Nicotiana benthamiana. Its description in RNAcentral is "long non-coding RNA (NBEN_LNC004451)". The record is from RNAcentral. Lineage: Eukaryota; Viridiplantae; Streptophyta; Magnoliopsida; Solanales; Solanaceae.
AUUGUUCCAGAGAGUUCUUCAACUUCUCUCUCUUUCUCUCACUGAGUUCUUCAUCACUUUGCCUUCAAUCCGUUUUUAUGGUAUCAUAGCAGGAUGAUCCUCGGAUUCUUCUCUGUUACUUGUUAUCGAUUGUGUUUGAAGCUUUAUGAAGGUUUUUCUCGGAUAUUUCUGAGAGAUUUUGUUUACCGAGAGAACGAUGUGUACUGAACGGAUAAUCGGAUCCUUUACUGCUGUUUGAUUCUUCGAUCUUCACUCAGUGGAUGUUUUGGGUGACUUUCCGACAUCCCUGACCUUUUUUCGGUGAUUCUCCAAAUUCUAGGGUUUCCGGUGGUUGAACCUAGGGUUUUACUACUAUCCUAUGGCUCGAUCCUCACUCGGUGGAUGUUUUGGGUGACUUUCCGACAUCCCUGACCCUAUUCCGGUAAGUUUCCAGUUCAGUUUCCGGUGGUUGGACCUAGGGUUUUAUCUGGCGAUUGAAGGUUGUUCUUCUCCGGUCGCGAAGAAGGAGGGAAACUCUAUCCCUGUGCUAAGU